RNAcentral lists this ribosomal RNA (250 nucleotides) under uncultured prokaryote. RNAcentral describes it as "partial 16S ribosomal RNA". It matches the Rfam family "Bacterial small subunit ribosomal RNA", at positions 524 to 774 of the family's 1533-position model. The record is from RNAcentral.
UUCGGGGGAUGCGAGCGUUAUCCGGAUUUAUUAGGUUUAAAGGGUGCGUAGGCGGGGCUUUAAGUCAGCGGUAAAAUCAUGCAGCUCAACUGCAUCAAGCCAUUGAUACUGGAGUCCUUGAGUACGGUUGAAGCUGGCGGAAUGUGUUGUGCAGCGGUGAAAUGCUUAGAUAUGACACAGAACACCGAUUGCGAAGGCAGCUAGCUAAGCCGGCACUGACGCUGAGGCACGAAAGCGUGGGGAUCAAACA